RNAcentral lists this ribosomal RNA (572 nucleotides) under uncultured bacterium. RNAcentral's name for it is "partial 16S ribosomal RNA". It matches the Rfam family "Bacterial small subunit ribosomal RNA", at positions 355 to 919 of the family's 1533-position model. The record is from RNAcentral.
UGGGGAAUUUUGGACAAUGGGCGCAAGCCUGAUCCAGCCAUGCCGCGUGCGGGAAGAAGGCCUUCGGGUUGUAAACCGCUUUUGUCAGGGAAGAAAUCUUCUGAGUUAAUACCUCGGGAGGAUGACGGUACCUGAAGAAUAAGCACCGGCUAACUACGUGCCAGCAGCCGCGGUAGUACGUAGGGUGCAAGCGCUAAUCGGAAUUACUGGGCGUAAAGCGUGCGCAGGCGGUUUUGUAAGACAGAGGUGAAAUCCCCGGGCUCAACCUGGGAACUGCCUUUGUGACUGCAAGGCUUGAGUGCGGCAGAGGGGGAUGGAAUUCCGCGUGUAGCAGUGAAAUGCGUAGAUAUGCGGAGGAACACCGAUGGCGAAGGCAAUCCCCUGGGCCUGCACUGACGCUCAUGCACGAAAGCGUGGGGAGCAAACAGGAUUAGAUACCCUGGUAGUCCACGCCCUAAAACGAUGUCAACUGGUUGUUGGGAAGGUUCCUUCUCAGUAACGUAGCUAACGCGUGAAGUUGACCGCCUGGGGAGUACGGCCGCAAGGUUGAAACUCAAAUGAAUUGACGGGGU